RNAcentral lists this ribosomal RNA (1328 nucleotides) under uncultured Microgenomates group bacterium. RNAcentral describes it as "partial 16S ribosomal RNA". It matches the Rfam family "Bacterial small subunit ribosomal RNA". The record is from RNAcentral.
AGAGUUUGAUUCUGGCUCAGAAUAACGCUGGCGGCGUGCCUAACACAUGCAAGUCGGACGCGAAGCUUCGGUUAGAGUGGCGCACGGGUGAGUAACGCGUAGGUAAUCUACCUCUGGAUUGGGGAUAACUCUGCGAAAGCGGAGCUAAUACCGAAUGCUGGCUUUAUUUUGAUGAAGUCGGUAAAGGAUGCUUGCAUAUGCAUCUGUCCGGAGAUGAGCCUGCGUCCCAUUAGCUAGUUGGUAGGGUAAAGGCCUACCAAGGCGACGAUGGGUAGCUGGUCUGAGAGGAUGAUCAGCCACACUGGAACUGGAACACGGUCCAGACUCCUACGGGAGGCAGCAGUGGGGAAUAUUGGGCAAUGGGCGCAAGCCUGACCCAGCAACGCCGUGUGAGGGAGGUUCGUCGACCUCUGUCAGAAGGGCGAAUAGACCUUCAGAGGAAGCACCGGCAACUCCGUGCCAGCAGCCGCGGUAAUACGGAGGGUGCGAGCGUUAUUCGGAAUCACUGGGCGUGAAGAGUUCGUAGGCGGAAAGGUAGGUUGUUGGUUAAAGCCCCCGGCUCAACCGGGGAAAAGCUGGCAAAACCGCCUUUCUUGUCCUCUGCAGGGGGUGCUGGAACUUACCAUGUAGGGGUGAAAUCCGUUGAUAUGGUAAGGAACGCCAACGGCGAAGGCGGGUACCUGGGCACAGGAGACGCUGAGGAACGAAAGCUAGGGGAGCGAACCGGAUUAGAGACCCGGGUAGUCCUAGCCGUAAACGAUGUCCGCUAGUUGCUUGAGAGUAAUCUUAGGUGACGAAGGUAACCCAUUAAGCGGACCGCCUGGGAAGUACGAUCGCAAGAUUGAAACUCAAAGGAAUUGGCGGGGAGGCGCACAACCAGUGGAGCAUGUGGUUUAAUUCGAUACAAAGCGAAGAACCUUACCUGGGUACAUCCAGCUUUUUCCCUUGACAGAGCAAGGCUUUAAAAGAAGCUACUGCAUGGUUGUCGUCAGCUCGUGUCGUGAGACGUUCCCUUAAGUGGGGUAACGAGCGCAACCCCUAUCCUUGUUGAUCGACCCGUCUGGAAACAAAUCUUUUUGUUUGGCUAUUUUUAAGCUUUAAAUCACGGGGGACGACGUCAAAUCAGCAUGGUGCUUAUGUCCAGGGCGACACACAUCCUACAAUGGGGAGUACAAUGGGCUGCCAAGCCGUAAGGCGGAGCUAUCCCAGCAAACCUCUCUCAGUGGGGAUUGAGGGCUGCAAUUCGCCCUCAUGAACGCGGAAUUGGUAGUAAUCGCGGAUCAGCAGGCCGCGGUGAAUACGUUCUCGCCUCUGCACACACCCCCGUC